AAAAUGCACCUCAAAGGAGAAUGAAGCACGUUCAGGUAGGCCAUCCACAAGCUGAAAUGACCAAGUAAUUGACAGAAUAUGGACUUUGGUCAUGGUUGACCAUUAUGUCACUAUCCAA
Molecule: long non-coding RNA, 118 nt
Organism: Thalassophryne amazonica
Lineage: Eukaryota; Metazoa; Chordata; Actinopteri; Batrachoidiformes; Batrachoididae
Exons: 3
Source: RefSeq, a predicted model, not a curated record